This is a long non-coding RNA of Poecilia latipinna (sailfin molly), 278 nucleotides long. RefSeq lists it as uncharacterized. The record is from RefSeq and is a predicted model, not a curated record. The transcript is spliced from 3 exons. Lineage: Eukaryota; Metazoa; Chordata; Actinopteri; Cyprinodontiformes; Poeciliidae.
UCACAACUUGUAUUACCCUACUGUCAUUGUGCAGGAAUGUUGGGAGAUGUGAAGCUUCUCCAAGCAGCCUUCCAGAACAAAUUGUCCAAAGUUGCAUUGAAAAGUUAUUUGACAUUUUGAAGAAUCAAACUAGCCACAAUGAAACUGUCAAAACACUUAAAACCAUAGAGCAAGCUCUGGAGGAAAGAGAGGUGACUGCAGGGACACUCAAAAUGACAAACAUUUUGGCUUUCAUACAAAAGCCCACUAUUCCUUUCAACGGUCUUACCAUUUCUGCC